RNAcentral lists this long non-coding RNA (5436 nucleotides) under Trifolium pratense (red clover). RNAcentral's name for it is "long non-coding RNA (TPRA_LNC001408)". The record is from RNAcentral. Lineage: Eukaryota; Viridiplantae; Streptophyta; Magnoliopsida; Fabales; Fabaceae.
AAUAAUCAAAUGAAAAUGAAACAUAAAGUUGUGAAGGAUUUUUUUAGUUACAUACCUCAAAUGUGUCUCCAACAUUCAUAAUGAAAGCAUUAGGCAGGGGUGGAACAGAAAUCCAUUGUCCAUCCUUUCUAAUUUGAAGGCCUUCCAUAUCAUUGAUUUCAAGAAGGAUUGUGAGGCCACNNNNNNNNNNUUUGUUGGCAAGUUUUUCCAACUCUGCACAAUAUAUCUCUAAAUUUUCUCUACAUUUGAAUUAGAUUGAAAAUGUCACUAACACAAACAAUGAUCAAUAAUAAUUAAAGAAAAAUGUUAUUUGAACACCAAUUUUUAAACAAAAAUACUACAACCUACGUAAAUCAUGUGAAAAUUAAAUGGAAAAUUGUCAAAGACAAAAUGGUCUUUUACAACAAAACAAUUUUUCUAUUGAAAAUACUUCUAUAUGAAUCGAAUGAUGUUUUGAUAUCUUAUAUGUAUUCUAAAAAAAUAAAAAUAAAAAUAAAAAAUUAACUAAAAUUUUAAAAGUAGAGUGAAUGUGUGCGCGCGCGAGAGAACCUGAAUGUUUGGGGCAUAUGAUCGUAUAUAUGAGGUUUUCUUGUGUGAGGUGGUAGUGUGUUCAAGAAAAAAGCAUCUCCCCAUUCUAAUUUUUGUUCCUCAGAAAAAAUGAAGGCCUGACCAAAUCCCUCCAUGUCUCCUUCUAUCUGCCAUAGCUUCUUCUUUUCUUCCAUUGAAAGUUCAAACAAAGAUUUAGAACUUCUCUUCAUACUUUCUAUCAAGGUAGUACUUACUCCAUGAUUAAUCACCUGCAAUGAUUAACCAACUAAGUGAAUAACUACUUGUUAUAUAGUAGUACUUAAUUACUCCAUAUUUUAUAAGGUUCGCAUUUUAGGAUGCGAACUGUUUUUUUCCCAAUUUUUGCUAUUUACACACUCGCAUCCUACAUUAUGAGGGAGUAGAAUUUGAAGGUCGGGGAGAGCGUGCAAGACUCAGGGGACGCGAAAAGAAGAAGUCUUAUUUCAUUAUAGUACAAAUAUUAAAUCAAACCUGAAAGAAACCCCAUUCUUUGCCAGCACAGUGUAGCUUCUCUAACUCAUGUCCCUUGAGAUUGAGAUCUUGGGACAACAAUUUUGCAAGAUCAAUGACAGGAACUUGAGGUAAAGAGGUAUUGUUAGAUAGUACUGCAAUUUCUUGAGCUGGAAGAACAUAUCGGUCUGGAACUUUGGUCAAUGGUUCAUUUGCUAGCACUUGUACAGAGGGCACUAGAAUAGAUGUUACUUCCAUGCUACUUUCACCUGAAUACAAGUGCAACACUAAAUUGUAAUAAAGAUUUCAUGAUAUUAAUGUCAGAUAACAUAUUAUCCUGUUAAAUUGUUAGGAUAGAGCUACAUCAAUGGUUUUAUAUUAUUUCUAACACGUCUUUUUACGCAAGAGCCCACUUGGACUUGAAGUGUGGAUAAUACAUAGGCCCACAUACAAUAUGUUUAAAUUCCACUUUUUAAUUAAAAAUUGAGGGGACCGGGGAUCGAACUCACCACUAAGUCAUAGAGGCUCUGAUAUCAUGUCAGAUAACCGAUUAUCCCAAAAGUUUAAACUGUUAGAAUAAAGCCACAUCAAUGGUUUUAUAUUAAAGAGUAGAGUUAUGCUUUGAUAUCUUCCUACCAAAUGUAGAUAUGAAGGUUAGAAAUUUAAUGGUUUUAGUUUCACUCAAAAAGGAGUUAAGUAGCUUAAGUUAUGAUCAAAAUAAUUCAUUAAAAGUAAUUUUUUUUUGACAUCAUUAAAAGUAAAUUAAUAAUAGAAUAUAAAAAAAUAUUAAUAGUAAUAAAAAAUACAAACAAAUUUAUCUUUAUAAAAAGUUAAGCAGCUUAUUCUGAGAAUAAAUCUAUUUUUAAAAUAAUUCAAUAAAAAUAAUUGGCUCAUGCGUAUAGAAAAAUUCGGUUGGAAGGGGAGAACUACUUUAUGUGUCCCACAGGUUUCUCGACGAAGAUUAGACAUCGCUAAUGACGGUAGAAACUUCAUACCAAUAUUAUAAUAAUAAAUAAAAAGACUGCAUCAUUAAAAAUGGCUAUUUCAAAGAAAUUUAUUUUCUUUUAAAAUUACCCCAUAACUCUAACUUGACCAUUUUAAAAAAUUAAUUAACAAUUGUAUAUUCAAUUAUAAAGCUUUUGAUUUUGGAGUUUGCUAACUUAGAUCCACCUAAAAAUAUGAAGGUCUAAGUUAACAAGGUGCACUUUUUCACUUUAGACCAAAACACUAUUUUUUACUAUUUUAAAUUUUAAUAUAGUUUCAAGCCAAUGAUAGUUUAGUAAAACUGAUUUGAUGUUUUUACAUGAAGAUCUAAAUUAGAAAGGUGUAUCUUUCAAAGUUGAGUAACAUGAUGUUUUCUUUAGUUGCCAUUCUUAAGUGUGUUCUCCAUUAAAAACAUGAAUUGAAUGAUAGUUUUCAAAAAGAUAAGAACUGAGGGAGACAGAGAAAGAAAAUAUAAGCAAAAGUAUAGAGCUAGGGAAAUUAAAGAGCUGAAAAAAUUGGAAAAAGGAAUGAAAAAUGAGAUAACAAAAUGGAAAGGAAUAAGAAAGUAAAAAAUAAAUUAAUUAAACAAACACACCUUAAGCUUUAGAUCGGUUUGUAUCUGUUUAGAGUGUUUGUCUUAGAAAGAUGAAUGCUCUUUUAUAGAAAUGGGUUUAGGUGGAGUCCCACAUCACACUAAAACAAGUGAGCUCCAUUUAUUUAAGUGAUUAGUUUCAUAUAAGCUUAAAAUGAGUGUUUCCUCCAAUUAAGGUCAUACUAAUUAAUUUUUCCGGUAGUUAAAAAACUAAAAAAUGUAAAUUUUACAAUAAAAAUGGUAUUUUAUAUACUAAUCAAUUCUAAUGCUUAUUAUGCUACACUCGAAGUUACUGCGCUUAUCGGUGAAUAUGAGUCACAUAUGCUUUGUAGUAUCUUAACAAAUAAUUUUUUUAAAAAAAACAAGUGAUAAAAAUGAUAAUUUUAUUACAUUAACUAUUAUAUUUUUUUUCUUUAAGGAUUAGCUAUAUGAUUUUUAAUGACAAGGUGAAAAGAUAAAACAAGAACAAAAGUGGCAAGAGAAAAAUGCAAAGCUAGCCAACUCAACCUCAUCUCACAGAGUUAUUUUUUAAUAAUUAUAGUGCAUUAUAACAAAAACUAAUUAAAAAAUUGACUAUUCUUCAAAAGAUGCCUAUGUUGGUUUGAAACAAAAGGAAGAAGACAAACUCCUCAUGAACCAUAGUAAGGUCGAAUAAACCCAUCUCCUAUGGUUGAAAUUGACCAGAGCUUCAAGUUGUGAUAUCUUGGUAGUUUUACAACUCAUUCAAAUUUAAGCAAAUUGAGAUAAUUUUUUAAGGAUUAAUUGGAUGUGCAUCUCUUUGAUCCUCCUUGAGUUGCUAGGACUACACAAGAUGUGCAACUUGAUCGUUUUUAACUCAUUUUCAAAACACAAACAAACUCAUCAUUCAAUAUCUUUUUAUUUAAUCAAACUCUCACAUCUUUUUACCGAAUCACAAAAAUUUUGUUUAAAAUUAUAACCAACACACGAGCAUUUUCUACCAUAGAACUACGUAGCUUUGAAUUCUCCAUUGCAAUAAAAAGGAGAAAAUAAACAUUUCGAAGUUAACAAAUUUUAGCACAAUUAAUUAAAGGUUACCGUUUUGUUGGAUAAUCACGAGGGGGCAGCCGGGGAUCAUCCACAUUGGGCUUAAGAACAACUCUACAAGUGAGUUGGACACCACACUCUUACCCAAAACCUUAAGGUGUUAGGUUUAUGGGUCAUCUCACUUAUAAAGUGUUCANNNNNNNNNNNNNNNNNNNNNNNNNNGAAAUUGACCAGAGCUUCAAGUUGUGAUAUCUUGGUAGUUUUAAAACUCAUUCAAAUUUAAGCAAAUUGAGAUAAUUUUUUAAGGAUUAAUUGGAUGUGCAUCUCUUUGAUCCUCCUUGAGUUGCUAGGACUACACAAGUUGUGCAACUUGAUCGUUUUUAAACUCAUUUUCAAAACACAAACAAACUCAUCGCAAUUAACUUCCUGCAUUCAAUAAAAAUUUUCUUUAAAAUUAUAACCAACAUACGAGCAUUUUCUACCAUAGAACUACGUAGCUUUGAAUUCUUCAUUGCAAUAAAAAGGAGAAAAUAAACAUUUUGAAGUUAACAAAUUUUAGCACAAUUAAUUAAAGGUUACCGGUUUUUAAUGGAUGUCUUAGGGUCCUAAUACCUUUUCUACGCAUAAUCGACUUCAGAAUUCGAAAUUUGGUUUCAAAGACCUUUUUUGUUUUAAAGGGCUUUCCAACAUUUUUUCUAUUUCAAUAAAUUUUAGUGGUGACUUCAUUGUUUUAGAUCAACCCUCAAAUUUUAGACUGUAAGACACUCAUUAGAGAUGAAAGUGAAUGAAAAAAAAGAACAAAGAAAGUUUUACUUAUUUUUAUUUGCAUAUAAAAGUUGUGACAUGCACACUUUUCUUAUCAUCAAUAUUAAUCUAAGCCAACUCCUAUACAAUGCUACUAAUAUCAUCUUUUAAAAAAAGGAGUUGUUAUUAUUCUCCACCCUUUCUAAUACCCAUUUGUAUUUUUGACUUUUUCUUGUCUUUAUUUCAUAAUUCAUAUAUAUAAUAUUAUAUUUCUCAUUAAAAAAAAAUCAUUCUCCAUCCUUUGUGAUCCUCAUUUCAUUUAGAUAUGAUUUUCCACGAAGCUCUUGUGCAAAGUACCCAUUAAAGUGGUCUACAACACUAAUUCUUCUAAAUUGUGCUGGUGUUUCUUGAGUAACAAGACUUGGUGCUGGAGCUAAAAUUGCUUGCAUGUUAGGUCCAUAAAAAGUAGCUAGGGAGAUUCUCUCCUUCUCUGAAUUAACUGUUGCUCGAUGCUCAAUGCUCGGAUAAAUUCCAUUUGUUAUAAUCUGCACAUUAAAUGAGUUUAUAAAGAGUGAUAUCUCUUACUUUAAAUGAGUUAGACUCAAUAAAUAUAAAAACCUAAGACGUACCUCUAACAUGUCUCCGAUAUUGAUUAUGAAAGCAUUAGGCAGAGAUAAAACAGGAAUCCACUGUCCAUCCUUUCGUAUCUGAAGGCCAUUUAUAUCACCGAUUUGAAGAAGGAUGGUUAGGCCACCAACAUCAGAAUGAGAUUUUAAGCCAAUGACUCGUUCUGGUUGAGGGCAUGGAGGAUAAUAAUUCACCCUUAACAUUUGAGUUCCUGGGUUGAACAACUCUGUCAUUUCCUUCGGAUUUAUUGCCAAAGCAUUUGCCAUAUGUUCAAUGACUUUGAUUGCAAGUUUUUCCAAUUCCGCAGAAUAUAUCUCUAAAUGUUCUCUACAUUUGCAUAAGGAUGAUAGAUGAUGUCACUUACAAAAACAAUUAUACACAAGUAUUGGUAAAUUUUUUAGUAAAAAAAAUGAAAGGCGUCAAAAAAAAAGAAAAAGAAGAGUGAGUGUGUGCGCGCGCGAGAGAAC